AUUGAACGCUGGCGGCAUGCCUUACACAUGCAAGUCGAACGGCAGCACGGGUGCUUGCACCUGGUGGCGAGUGGCGAACGGGUGAGUAAUACAUCGGAACAUGUCCUGUAGUGGGGGAUAGCCCGGCGAAAGCCGGAUUAAUACCACAUACGAUCUACGGAUGAAAGCGGGGGACCUUCGGGCCUCGCGCUAUAGGGUUGGCCGAUGGCUGAUUAGCUAGUUGGUGGGGUAAAGGCCUACCAAGGCGACGAUCAGUAGCUGGUCUGAGAGGACGACCAGCCACACUGGGACUGAGACACGGCCCAGACUCCUACGGGAGGCAGCAGUGGGGAAUUUUGGACAAUGGGCGAAAGCCUGAUCCAGCAAUGCCGCGUGUGUGAAGAAGGCCUUCGGGUUGUAGAGCACUUUUGUCCGGAAAGAAAUCCUUGGCUCUAAUACAGUCGGGGGAUGACGGUACCGGAAGAAUAAGCACCGGCUAACUACGUG
Molecule: ribosomal RNA, 486 nt
Filed under: uncultured bacterium
Lineage: Bacteria
Description: partial 16S ribosomal RNA
Rfam family: Bacterial small subunit ribosomal RNA
Source: RNAcentral